AUGAGCUGGCGGGGCAUAUGGAAGAUAUCCCAUGGGCCAGCAGCUGGAGCCUGGAAGCAGAUGUUAAUGCUCCAUAGCAGAGAGUUUAGGUUUACAGCAAACAGCGACUACCAAAUUUUCCAUGUAGGAUAUAAACGGAGAUUGUCAUGGAGAUGGUUGCCAUCAGUUCCAUUUUGUUGCACAUCACAAGCCUGCCAUUUUAGAUGGGGAGAUGCAUUCAUGUGCUUGCUGUUGCGUGCCAGUAGCUUCGUUCAGUUGCUUCAGUGGGAUAAAGUUACUCGAUGUGGAUUUUGUUCUGUAAACGUUCAACAAAUUUGCCAGCGAGUAGUUUGA
This 333-nucleotide ribosomal RNA is filed under the name Triticum aestivum (bread wheat). Its description in RNAcentral is "partial small subunit ribosomal RNA". The record is from RNAcentral. Lineage: Eukaryota; Viridiplantae; Streptophyta; Magnoliopsida; Poales; Poaceae.